UACAGAGGUCUCAAGCGUUGUUCGGAUUCAUUGGGCGUAAAGGGUGCGUAGGCGGCGCGGUAAGUCGGGUGUGAAAUCUCGGAGCUCAACUCCGAGCCUGCGUUCGAUACUGGAUGGCUAGAGUCUGGUAGGGGGAUCUGGAAUUCCUGGUGUAGCGGUGGAAUGCGCAGAUAUCAGGAGGAACACCGGUGGCGAAGGCGGGAUCCUGGGCCAGUACUGACGCUGAGGAGCGAAAGCGUGGGGAGCGAACAGG
RNAcentral lists this ribosomal RNA (253 nucleotides) under uncultured bacterium. RNAcentral describes it as "partial 16S ribosomal RNA". It matches the Rfam family "Bacterial small subunit ribosomal RNA", at positions 524 to 776 of the family's 1533-position model. The record is from RNAcentral.